Siniperca chuatsi (mandarin fish) is the source of this 1623-nucleotide long non-coding RNA. RefSeq lists it as uncharacterized. The record is from RefSeq and is a predicted model, not a curated record. The transcript is spliced from 2 exons. Lineage: Eukaryota; Metazoa; Chordata; Actinopteri; Centrarchiformes; Sinipercidae.
UCCAGAUGACUACGACUGAAACCUUUUCUACGAUAGAACACUCCUGGACGAAUGAGGGACUACACCGUCUUCCAGUCAGAGACUUAUACACCUGCUACUCAUCUGCUCGCCAUCCACCAAUCAUCACCUGGAAGUAUAUCUACCCGGCUCUUCUCACUAGUCUUCCCCAGAUCGUCCAUUUACCCAAGUGGUUCGUUCCUCUCACCUGCCUCCAAGUUACUCACCUGCUCUCCAGGAAGAUCUCACCAUGGAUUCUACUGCUCCACCUCAGCCCGCUGUCCUCGCUCUGCCUGCCUGUUCUCAUCAGUCACUCGCCAGCCAGCCGUCCUUGCCUAGUCCACCGGCUCCGGGCGUUUCCUUCUACACACCUGGUUUCUCUUCGCUUUUACAAUAAACUGAAACUAAUCUGUGUCAGUCAUGCCUUUGGGUCCAGAAUCUCUGUGUAUCGUAACAAUCCAUGUCAGCUCAGACUUCAAGGCGCUUCUGAUGACUUACAAAAUUGUGAAUGGGCAUGCCCCUUCAAAUCUGUCUGAUCUCCUUAAACCUUAUAUUCAACUCAAUCGCCAGAAUAUAAUGUUGGCAUUUUAUGUUUCUGCAAACAAUGUUAAAUCUCUGCAUUUCAAACAUUGUUGUUAAGAUCUGGUUUAGACACAAAAAACACUUGGUUAACGUCUUAAAAUUCACCUGCCCACCAGCGACCAGCUUAAGAUAGUUCUAAGUGACUUAGCAUCACGCAUAAACCCAGGGACAUCAUGCAAGCCAAAGUUCUGGGGGAGCAUUACAAAUUUUUAAGGGGUAUAAAUUUACAAAAAGACUAUAUCCACAAUGCAAAUUAAUUUAGAGAACAUAGACUAUAAAGCCACAGAUGAAAGGAACCUGCCGACAUGGUAAUAGCUGUAUUUUCAAACACAAUGCAUAGGAAGCAGCAUGAGUACAGAUGAGAUUGUUCCCAUCACCACAUAGCAGUGUCAUAGUGUCAUACAACAUACAUAGUACAUAUAACCUGUAACCACACCUAACGUUACACAUACUGAUAUAACUGGGGGGGCAAUAAUCCCAGCCAAGAGUGGGAUUUUCAUGUCUAUUAACGUCUGUCUGCAAGACUCCAAAAGGAAUCCCUAACUUUCUCCAAGUUCACUUCCUAAUUGCAAUUAAUAUUCACAUGUUUGAAAAAGGGAUUGAUGCUCUACUAACCUUAGGGAAAGGGGGUGUGUGACUUUUUGAGUUAUGAUCUAUGGCAUAAUUAGAAGAGUACAUUUGACUCAUAAUAUAAAAUGAUCAUAACUACAUAACAAAAAAUAAUGGUAAUUAAAAAAAAAUCCAGAUAUCAAAAAUCUGGUGGGGCAUGUGAGUAGUAUAUGACCCCCAUGCACGCACACGCCUACGUGCACUGUCUAACCCUGGAAUGUGUCUGGGCAUGUCUGUAGGGGUUGCUUAUGCCCAUCCUAGGGGGUGGGUUUAUCAGUGUGAAUAUAUAAGUAAUGGUCACUAGUGGGCAUUUCUGCACCUUUUUUCUGAGCAGCAAAGGACACGUAGCAGUUAUGGCAUCCAACAUAUGUGUGAUCUCCCCCAAACUGCUGAUUUUGUAGGUAUGUCUAUCAGGGUCGUCCUGGGCGAUACAGA